RNAcentral lists this ribosomal RNA (198 nucleotides) under uncultured bacterium. Its description in RNAcentral is "partial 16S ribosomal RNA". It matches the Rfam family "Bacterial small subunit ribosomal RNA", at positions 328 to 539 of the family's 1533-position model. The record is from RNAcentral.
ACGCUCGACACCUACGGGAGGUAGCAGUGAGGGAUAUUGGUCAAUGGGGGAAACCCUGAACCAGCAACGCCGCGUGAGGGAUGACGGCCUCCGGGUUGUAAACCUCUGUCCUCUGCGAAGAUAAUGACGGUAGCAGAGGAGGAAGCUCCGGCUAACUACGUGCUAGCAGCCGCGGUAAUCUGAGCGGGCUGGCAAGGC